Molecule: ribosomal RNA, 81 nt
Filed under: Candidatus Mycoplasma haematominutum
Lineage: Bacteria; Bacillati; Mycoplasmatota; Mollicutes; Mycoplasmatales; Mycoplasmataceae
Description: Candidatus Mycoplasma haemominutum partial 16S ribosomal RNA
Source: RNAcentral
GGUCUUCUGAUUGUAAAGUUCUUUUAUUUAGGAAAAAAAGCUUGAGAGGAAAUGAUUAAGCCUUGAUAGUACUAAAUGAAU